GUGCUCACUUCAGUUAGAACAUGUACUACAAUGGAAUGACAGAGAAGUUAGCAUGACCCCUGUGGAAGGAUGAUACGAAAAGUGUAAAAGGCAUUCCAUAAUUUU
Small nuclear RNA from Fukomys damarensis (Damara mole-rat), 105 nucleotides. NCBI's taxonomy places the organism in Eukaryota, Metazoa, Chordata, Mammalia, Rodentia, Bathyergidae. The record is from Ensembl.